CCAGACUCCUACGGGAGGCAGCAGUAAGGGAUAUUGGUCAAUGGGGGAAACCCUGAACCAGCAACGCCGCGUGAGGGAAGACGGUUUUCGGAUUGUAAACCUCUGUCCUCUGUGAAGAUGAUGACGGUAGCAGAGGAGGAAGCUCCGGCUAACUACGUGCCAGCAGCCGCGGUAAUACGGAGGAUGCGAGCGUUAUCCGGAUUUAUUGGGUUUAAAGGGUGCGUAGGCGGACUGGAAAGUCAGCGGUAAAAUCGGGAGGCUCAACCUCUUUCCGCCGUUGAAACUGUCGGUCUUGAGUGGGCGAGAAGUAUGCGGAAUGCGUGGUGUAGCGGUGAAAUGCAUAGAUAUCACGCAGAACUCCGACUGCGAAGGCAGCAUACCGGCGCCCGACUGACGCUGAGGCACGAAAGCGUGGGUAUCGAACAGGAUUAGAUACCCCAGUAUUC
Molecule: ribosomal RNA, 446 nt
Filed under: uncultured bacterium
Lineage: Bacteria
Description: partial 16S ribosomal RNA
Rfam family: Bacterial small subunit ribosomal RNA
Source: RNAcentral